UCCAGGUCUAUUGAUUUGCUCUAAUAUAAGAUAAGAUUUCUUUUUAGGCAAAAUAAAAUUCGGCUUAUAGAAUCUGGUAGAUUAUUCUUAUUGGAUGGUUCCAGGAAAUGAUUAAUGAGCUGGUCUGAAUGUUAUUUUUAUUGAAAAUUACAUAAGAAUAGGAUACUAUAUGCCUAGGAGGAUCUAGCCAGCGUUGAAAGGGUUACUCAGUUGAUUUAACUGUUGAUUUAACUGUUAGCCAAGGUUUUAUGGCUUUUUGCUGUGAAAAGCUUUAUUUUUGUCUAUAAAGUACCCUCAUAAAUCUUAAUUGACAGGAGAUGCUGUUAG
This is a non-coding RNA of Pelobates cultripes (western spadefoot toad), 327 nucleotides long. The record is from the annotation of a GenBank genome assembly. NCBI's taxonomy places the organism in Eukaryota, Metazoa, Chordata, Amphibia, Anura, Pelobatidae.